Molecule: ribosomal RNA, 341 nt
Filed under: Exostema lancifolium
Lineage: Eukaryota; Viridiplantae; Streptophyta; Magnoliopsida; Gentianales; Rubiaceae
Description: partial 5.8S ribosomal RNA, ITS2
Rfam family: 5.8S ribosomal RNA (bases 1-117)
Source: RNAcentral
UGAAGAAYGCWGCGAAUGCGAUACUUGGUGUGAAUUGCAGAAUCCCGUGAACCAUCGAGUCUUUGAACGCAAGUUGCCCGAAGCCAUUAGGCCGAGGGCACGUCUGCCUGGGCGUCACGCAUCGCGGUGCCACCCACCAUCGUUGUGAUGGGUGGCGGAUGUUGGCCUCCCGUGCUACAAUGUGCGGCCGGCCUAAAUGCGAGUCCUCGGCGAGAGACGUCACGACUAGUGGUGGUUGAAUGCCUCAACUCGAGUCCUGUCGUGUCGAUGCCCCUCGCCGUCAUCGGGCUCCCAUGACCCUAUAGCGUGCUCACAAGGGCACACAUCCGCGACCCAGGUCA